This is a non-coding RNA of Ceratotherium simum simum (southern white rhinoceros), 538 nucleotides long. The record is from RefSeq and is a predicted model, not a curated record. NCBI's taxonomy places the organism in Eukaryota, Metazoa, Chordata, Mammalia, Perissodactyla, Rhinocerotidae.
CUUACAGUGAAAAUCAAGAAGAAAUCUAUUCCUGUGCGAGCCCCCAGAGCCAGGUUUACCCUCCAGUCUUUCUGAUGACACAAGGAACUGAAAGGCUGAGCAGGAUGACAUUUCUUGUUGCUGUCAGGCAGCACUCUUCUCUUAAAAAAAAGAAAUCUGCAUCUUUCUCUGAAGAAAGGCCUAGAAAAGCCAGGCGUUCUACCCUGACUCUGUUCAGUUCGGCUGCUGCAUUUCACCCUCACCUGCAGUGUGUAGAGGACGUUAUGCUAUGCUCAUUAUCCAUGUAAGGAGAUGAAUCAACCUGGGACUAUUAACAACCUUUGACCUCAAGAAGCACAAAAGCAAAUCAAGUCAGGCAGGUGUUUUUCUCUGCCUUCCGCUUGGCGAAGAAACCAGUGGUCAGACAUCUAGAAGCAGUCCUGAAAAGGACACUUGACACCCUUGCUUUUUACUUUUUUCCCUCCAUCAGAGGGACCUCCUGCCUGGAAAGUCUUAGGCUCUAGUAAUUAUCCUACUUUGUACCAGGUGGAGGUAAGAA